Long non-coding RNA from Ictalurus punctatus (channel catfish), 1680 nucleotides. NCBI's taxonomy places the organism in Eukaryota, Metazoa, Chordata, Actinopteri, Siluriformes, Ictaluridae. The record is from Ensembl.
CGUUUUCAUCGUCGCUCCUCCUAAUUAUUAUUGCUUUUAUUAAAUAUACUCAAGGUUUUUACGUUCAUUCGUGUCUGCUAAUUAAACCUAGUCUGUGCAUGCUAUAGCUUUCUUUUUUUUUUUUAAAUUCUGAAAUAAUCCUUUCCAGAAGAAAAUCAAGAGUUUGCAAGAGCAAGAUGUCAAAAAGGCAGCUCCGAGCUAUAAAACACUCGCACCAUCACCGGAUCUAUCUGAACACUUGCAUUCUCUCAUUUUACAAACACUAAUGAAGGAGUAAUCGGCAAUCAGUCGGACGUAUUAUUAACCAAUUUUGGGAGGGGAGGGGGACUCGAAACAAAUAUCAAACAGCACUGAAAAGAAAAACAAGGAAGUCUGAAAUUUGGACCAAAAGGGAAAAGAGAAUUAUUAAUUUUUUAUUUUAUUUUAUCAUUUUUUGUAAAAACCUCACGUCACUGCCAACACUGUCUACUAAUAUUUAAAAAAUAAUAACGUCGAAUAGUGCAAUACUCCCAGAGAUCUUGAAAAUGUUUUAGUUCUGUUAGUAAAAAAAAAAAUUAACAUUAUACACUUGCACCAUCGACACAAAUAUAACACUAAACAAUACAGUAGAUUUUCUCCCCGUUAUCAGCACUGACCUCGCAACAAAGCGACGCCGCAGCAAGACCCCAUCCGCUCGACCUGAAUUUCUCAAUGUCGCUUUUCAGCGUCGGGGUAAAAAUAAGAGAUCAGUCAAAUAUCUCGUGUGUGCGCGCGCGCACGUGUGUUUAAUGCAAACAGUGUUUUCAGAAAUGACGUUCGUACCGACUUCUGCGUUAUUGUACUAAUCUACAAAUAUACACACACGCGUUACACCUGCGUGCAAAAGUUUGCGUACUCGCGGUGAUCUGAAGGAAGCAUCCGGUGUGUGAGGGUUUUUUAAAAAAUAAAUAAAUAAAAAUAGUCUGAGGGAGGAUAUUAGAGACUAUGUGCUUUGUUGUGGCCGGUUGUCUUGUUGCAGGAUACAAAAGAUUUCAUUUCGUUAAGUCAUUCAUUAUAACUCUGUCCUGAAAUGAAAGUAACUUUGGGGGGAUUUAUUUAAGCCGUACGCUGCGUGCUUAACAUAAACGUGCAUGAGAUGAAAUGCUGUGCGUCGUGCUGUUGUAAGGGGAUAAUCGGAGACGGAGCCACCGUUCCCUUCCCUCAACUCUAAACAAUUACAUUGUUUGUUUGUCUGUUUAAAAAAAAAAAAAAUUAUUAACGAAUGACGUGCUGUACUAAUAGUGAUUAUGACCUCAAUCUGGGAUGGAAUUCAAGUUUAACUAGAUUUCCUCCCUCACAGACCCCAGUCGAGUUCCUCCAUUUCCUCGCUGAAGGUCAAAGAAUCUUUGUAUUAUAAUCUACAAACUGGGAUACAACCAUCAGCGCCAUUACUGGUGAGUACUGGGAUUAGUGUGUUUUUUUUCUUUCCCUUUUUCUUCUGUAAUUCAUACAGUACUGUACAAACAUCUGAGGUGCAUGUAAGGAAACACUUUACAUUAACGUUCCCCCGUGAAACAAUAUCAAUAUGCGUCUCUGUAACAUUGUGGAAAUUGGUAGAUAUUUAUUUAUUAAAUUACCUUUAACACCUUUUCCCUAAACGAUUACAAACUGUGCAGCGCACUCGGGUACGGGCGACGGUCACAAUAUUUAUUUAUUUUUUUU